UACGAAGGGGGCUAGCGUUGCUCGGAAUCACUGGGCGUAAAGGGUGCGUAGGCGGGUUUUUAAGUCAGGGGUGAAAUCCUGGAGCUCAACUCCAGAACUGCCUUUGAUACUGAAGAUCUUGAGUCCGGGAGAGGUGAGUGGAACUGCGAGUGUAGAGGUGAAAUUCGUAGAUAUUCGCAAGAACACCAGUGGCGAAGGCGGCCCCCUGGGUCGGCCCUGACGCUGAGGCGCGAAAGCGUGGGGAGCGAACGGG
This 253-nucleotide ribosomal RNA is filed under the name uncultured bacterium. RNAcentral's name for it is "partial 16S ribosomal RNA". It matches the Rfam family "Bacterial small subunit ribosomal RNA", at positions 524 to 776 of the family's 1533-position model. The record is from RNAcentral.